GGUCCAGACUCCUACGGGAGGCAGCAGUGGGGGAUAUUGCACAAUGGGGGAAACCCUGAUGCAGCAACGCCGCGUGAGUGAGGAAGUAUUUCGGUAUGUAAACCUCUAUCAGCAGGGAAUAGAAAAGAAGGUAUCUGAAAAAGAAGCCCCGGCUAACUACGUGCCAGCAGCCGCGGUAAUACGUAGGGGGCAAGCGUUAUCCGGAUUUACUGGGUGUAAAGGGAGCGUAGACGGAAAGGCAAGUCAGAAGUGAAAGCCCAAGGCUCAACCCCGGGACUGCAUUUGAAACUGUCAGGCUGGAGUGCAGGAGAGGUAAGUGGAAUUCCUAGUGUAGCGGUGAAAUGCGUAGAUAUUAGGAGGAACACCAGUGGCGAAGGCGGCUUACUGGACUGUAACUGACGUUGAGGCUCGAAAGCGUGGGGAGCAAACAGGAUUAGAUACCCCUGUAGGG
This 451-nucleotide ribosomal RNA is filed under the name uncultured bacterium. RNAcentral describes it as "bacterial SSU rRNA". It matches the Rfam family "Bacterial small subunit ribosomal RNA", at positions 328 to 794 of the family's 1533-position model. The record is from RNAcentral.